Molecule: non-coding RNA, 57 nt
Organism: Bos taurus (domestic cattle)
Lineage: Eukaryota; Metazoa; Chordata; Mammalia; Artiodactyla; Bovidae
Source: Rfam
UGGCUCAGAGGAUAAAGCAUCUGCCUGCAAUGCAGGAGACCCGGGUUCCAUCCCUGG